GCUGCGAUGGCCGAGUGGUUAAGGCGUUGGACUUGAAAUCCAAUGGGGUCUCCUGCGCAGGUUCGAACCCUGCUCGCAGCG
Molecule: transfer RNA, 81 nt
Filed under: Salmo salar (Atlantic salmon)
Lineage: Eukaryota; Metazoa; Chordata; Actinopteri; Salmoniformes; Salmonidae
Rfam family: tRNA
About the family: Transfer RNA (tRNA) molecules are approximately 80 nucleotides in length. Their secondary structure includes four short double-helical elements and three loops (D, anti-codon, and T loops). Further hydrogen bonds mediate the characteristic L-shaped molecular structure. tRNAs have two regions of fundamental functional importance: the anti-codon, which is responsible for specific mRNA codon recognition, and the 3' end, to which the tRNAs corresponding amino acid is attached (by aminoacyl-tRNA synthetases). tRNAs cope with the degeneracy of the genetic code in two manners: having more than one tRNA (with a specific anti-codon) for a particular amino acid; and 'wobble' base-pairing, i.e. permitting non-standard base-pairing at the 3rd anti-codon position.
Source: Rfam by way of RNAcentral